RNAcentral lists this ribosomal RNA (1362 nucleotides) under uncultured bacterium. RNAcentral's name for it is "bacterial SSU rRNA". It matches the Rfam family "Bacterial small subunit ribosomal RNA", at positions 28 to 1381 of the family's 1533-position model. The record is from RNAcentral.
AUUGAACGCUGGCGGCAGGCUUAACACAUGCAAGUCGAGCGGUAGCACAGGAGAGCUUGCUCUCUGGGUGACGAGCGGCGGACGGGUGAGUAAUGUCUGGGAAACUGCCUGAUGGAGGGGGAUAACUACUGGAAACGGUAGCUAAUACCGCAUAACGUCGCAAGACCAAAGAGGGGGACCUUCGGGCCUCUUGCCAUCAGAUGUGCCCAGAUGGGAUUAGCUAGUAGGUGGGGUAAUGGCUCACCUAGGCGACGAUCCCUAGCUGGUCUGAGAGGAUGACCAGCCACACUGGAACUGAGACACGGUCCAGACUCCUACGGGAGGCAGCAGUGGGGAAUAUUGCACAAUGGGCGCAAGCCUGAUGCAGCCAUGCCGCGUGUGUGAAGAAAGCCUUCGGGUUGUAAAGCACUUUCAGCGAGGAGGAAGGUGGUGAACUUAAUACGUUCAUCAAUUGACGGUACUCGCAGAAGAAGCACCGGCUAACUCCGGGCCAGCAGCCGCGGUAAAUACGAGGGUGCAAGCGUUAAUCCAAAUUACUGGGGCGUAAGCGCACGCGGCGGUUUGUUAAGUCAGAUGUGAAAUCCCCGGGCUCAACCUGGGAACUGCAUUUGAAACUGGCAAGCUAGAGUCUCGUAGAGGGGGGUAGAAUUCCAGGUGUAGCGGUGAAAUGCGUAGAGAUCUGGAGGAAUACCGGUGGCGAAGGCGGCCCCCUGGACGAAGACUGACGCUCAGGUGCGAAAGCGUGGGGAGCAAACAGGAUUAGAUACCCUGGUAGUCCACGCUGUAAACGAUGUCGAUUUGGAGGUUGUGCCCUUGAGGCGUGGCUUCCGGAGCUAACGCGUUAAAUCGACCGCCUGGGGAGUACGGCCGCAAGGUUAAAACUCAAAUGAAUUGACGGGGGCCCGCACAAGCGGUGGAGCAUGUGGUUUAAUUCGAUGCAACGCGAAGAACCUUACCUACUCUUGACAUCCAGAGAACUUUCCAGAGAUGGAUUGGUGCCUUCGGGAACUCUGAGACAGGUGCUGCAUGGCUGUCGUCAGCUCGUGUUGUGAAAUGUUGGGUUAAGUCCCGCAACGAGCGCAACCCUUAUCCUUUGUUGCCAGCGGUUCGGCCGGGAACUCAAAGGAGACUGCCAGUGAUAAACUGGAGGAAGGUGGGGAUGACGUCAAGUCAUCAUGGCCCUUACGAGUAGGGCUACACACGUGCUACAAUGGCAUAUACAAAGAGAAGCGACCUCGCGAGAGCAAGCGGACCUCAUAAAGUAUGUCGUAGUCCGGAUUGGAGUCUGCAACUCGACUCCAUGAAGUCGGAAUCGCUAGUAAUCGUAGAUCAGAAUGCUACGGUGAAUACGUUCCCGGGCCU